GGUGUAGGUGGCUCUAUAAGUCAGGAGUGAAAGCCCCAAGCUUAACUUGGGAAGUGCUUUUGAUACUGUAGAGCUUGAAUGUGGGAGAGGAUCGUGGAAUUCCAGGUGUAGUGGUGAAAUACGUAGAUAUCUGGAGGAACACCGGUGGCGAAGGCGGCGAUCUGGCCCAACAUUGACACUGAGACCCGAAAGCGUGGGGAUCAAACA
This 207-nucleotide ribosomal RNA is filed under the name uncultured bacterium. Its description in RNAcentral is "partial 16S ribosomal RNA". It matches the Rfam family "Bacterial small subunit ribosomal RNA", at positions 568 to 774 of the family's 1533-position model. The record is from RNAcentral.